RNAcentral lists this ribosomal RNA (406 nucleotides) under uncultured bacterium. Its description in RNAcentral is "partial 16S ribosomal RNA". It matches the Rfam family "Bacterial small subunit ribosomal RNA", at positions 28 to 526 of the family's 1533-position model. The record is from RNAcentral.
GACGAACGCUGGCGGCGUGCCUAAUACAUGCAAGUCGAACGAGUGGCGGACGGGUGAAUAAUGUCUGGGAAACUGCCUGAUGGAGGGGGAUAACGACUGGAAACGGUAGCUAAUACCGCAUACCAUCAGAUGUGCCCAGAUGGGUUUAGCUAGUUGGUGGGGUAACGGCUCACCAAGGCGACGAUCCCUAGCUGGUCGGAGAGGAUGACCAGCCACACUGGGACGGAGACAAGGGCCAGACUCCUACGGGAGGCAGCAGUGGGGAAUAUUGGACAAUGGGCGCAAGCCUGAUGCAGCCAUGCCGCGUGUAUGAAGAAGGCCUUCGGGUUGUAAAGUACGUUCAGCGGGGAGGCGUUACCCGAAGAAGAAGCACCGGCUAACUCCGUGCCAGCAGCCGCGGUAAUUC